This is a long non-coding RNA of Heterocephalus glaber (naked mole-rat), 2274 nucleotides long. NCBI's taxonomy places the organism in Eukaryota, Metazoa, Chordata, Mammalia, Rodentia, Bathyergidae. The record is from Ensembl.
GCCGGCGGGAGGCGCGGGGUCGCCUCGCUGGCUGGCGUGAGGUGGGGCCACUCCGGGUGCCCCCGGAUGUCCCCGGGCUGCCCUGUCGCGCGGCGGACCCGCAGGGCUCUCCGUGCUCCCGGCCUUCCCCGCGGCUGCCUUUCGAGCGAAGCCUGUUCAGCUGAAGAACGGGAAAGGCCCGGGCGUUACGUAAGGGCCUCCCCGCGGGCGAGACCGGGACCUGAAGCGACCGCGGCGACUUCUGUGAUCGCCGGGUCCCCCAGCCCCCACCCCCCCGCGUCCCGCCACAGACCUGUCGAGGACGAAGUGCGGAAAUUUCCACUAAUUUCCUCAGUGGAGCGGCUCGUGUCGUUUUUGUGGUUGCUAAACGAAAAGCUGUUUUCCUGCUCUGCAGAGCUGCUUGAGUUGAUCAGUGAGUAGGAUCACUUAAAUGGAGUCACCGGCCUAAUAUCUGCUGAGGAACCAGUGCAUAGAUUCCUUCUUAGAGGUCUUUAUGCCCCCUUCAGAAACCAAGUCCUCUUCAAAGCCAGGACUGUAAACUUGAGCUUCUCACCAGUCCCGAGGCCGAUGCAGGAGGAUCACAGUGAAUUCAAGGCCAGCCUGGACUACAGAGUGAGACCCUGACUCAAAACAACAGAAAGAAGAGAGAGAGAGAUGAAGAUAGCAGGAAGCACCACAUGGAAGUUAAGAAAGAAAUACAGGGAAUGGAGAAAACCCAAGAGCAGAUGUCUGGAUCUCCCUGUGAAGUCUACACGGGCCUCAAACUUGCAGCGACCCUCCCACCUCAGCCACCUGGGUGCUGGGACCACAAGCAUGCAAUAAAAAUUAAGUAGUAAAGAAAAUGAAACACUCCCAUAGACUGCCCCAAAGGUGCCUCCUCCAGGCACCUGUUCCCUGUGUAAAGUUAGGAAGGCUGUGGUGAAGCACCCCAAGGAUCUAGUUUCAGGUCUGCAGUGAGCGACCUGACCCCUGGUUCCUCUCAGCUGCUGCUAUUGCUGCUGCUGCUCCUCAUCCUCCUGAUUUGUUUGGUUUUUUUUUGAGGCAGGGUCUUGCUGUGUAGUUUAGGACUCCCUUGAACUUAGAGAUCCUGCUGCCUCAGCCUCCUGAUUGCUGGGAGCUCAGGCAUGCACCACUGCAGCGGCUCAGGUAUUUAUUUAGUGACUGUUGACUGGUGUGAAUGGAACCCUCCAGACCGUGUGUUAUCUGUUGGCCGAGGUUCUUGAGCGCCUCCUCCGUCUGUCCUGUGGGCGGUACCAUGCCUUGUUACCAGCACCUGCUCAUGCUGCUGCAGUGAGCUCAGAAACAGCAGUGACAGUGGACCAACCUGCCGCCCUGUGACCAGAAAUGGGCAGCAGGUUUCACAGAAAGGCAAUGACAGGGCACAGGAUAGACCGGCGGUGUCACAGGUGCCACCGUUGGGGCUGUAGCCAUGGACUGGAAAAGAAACUGCAGCGUACCAGUGUGACAGGGACCUUGGCCCAGCACGGCUGUGACUCCCAAGCAGGGACACCAGGCAUUGUGAGGAGUGUCGCCUUCAGACAUGGGGCGACGGAAGCAACCUCGAAGGAUGCGAGUCCUCCCGUCCGCUGUCCACAGUGUGGGGAAGCGAUGUCAGGGAGAAGAGGAAAAGCCCGCACGCUUAUCUUCCCUUCCUUUCCUCCUCUUUAUUCUCCUCUGGUACACAAGGAGGGAAGGUAAGCAAUUUCUUGAUUGCAUCUCCUGUGACCUCCCCAUCGGUGUUCUCAGCUUUCUCUGUGUGAAGACGUGCUGUCCUCCUUCCUGGGUCUCCUGGUCCCUUCAGCAUGGCUGUGAGGUGCGACCCGACACAAAGAGGAAACAGCAUCGCCACUGCUUGUCAGGAUUGGCAAUAAACACUAGCUGUAACAUGGUGCACUUUUCUCCAGGAGCUGCUUGCAGUGAAUGACCUCAUAGUGAUCUGUAAAAUUGUAUAUUUUUGUCUAAUGAAGUAGUCAUUAAAAAUUCAAAGCCUCAAAUUCACAGCAAUCCUCCUGCCUCAGCCUCCUGAGUGCUGGAAUGACCACCACGCCUGGCUUCACUGUUUAUAUUUUAUGAGUCCAUGUCUGCAGUACAUGAUUGCAUUCCUCAUGGGGAGUUGGUCCACGCACGUAAUACAUCUGAAGUCCUUUUUCUUCCCUCUCUUCUCCCCCUCCAUCUCUUCCUAUGUGGGGAGUUGGUAUAUGCGCAGCAUAUCUUUUUGUUUUGUUUUGUUUUUUGUUUUUUUGAGACAGGAUCUUGCUAUUUGUUCUAGUUGGC